This is a non-coding RNA of Caenorhabditis elegans, 21 nucleotides long. The record is from Ensembl. NCBI's taxonomy places the organism in Eukaryota, Metazoa, Nematoda, Chromadorea, Rhabditida, Rhabditidae.
UAUCAUCAGGUUGAAGAUUUG